GUUUUCAUAGCUCAGUUGGUUAGAGCAUGGUUCUAUUGAUGCCAAGGUCGUGGGUUAGAUCCCUCUAUGGCCA
RNAcentral lists this transfer RNA (73 nucleotides) under Ficedula albicollis (Collared flycatcher). It matches the Rfam family "tRNA". From Rfam's summary of the family: Transfer RNA (tRNA) molecules are approximately 80 nucleotides in length. Their secondary structure includes four short double-helical elements and three loops (D, anti-codon, and T loops). Further hydrogen bonds mediate the characteristic L-shaped molecular structure. tRNAs have two regions of fundamental functional importance: the anti-codon, which is responsible for specific mRNA codon recognition, and the 3' end, to which the tRNAs corresponding amino acid is attached (by aminoacyl-tRNA synthetases). tRNAs cope with the degeneracy of the genetic code in two manners: having more than one tRNA (with a specific anti-codon) for a particular amino acid; and 'wobble' base-pairing, i.e. permitting non-standard base-pairing at the 3rd anti-codon position. Lineage: Eukaryota; Metazoa; Chordata; Aves; Passeriformes; Muscicapidae. The record is from Rfam by way of RNAcentral.